This 1440-nucleotide ribosomal RNA is filed under the name Pseudomonas sp. RNAcentral's name for it is "bacterial SSU rRNA". It matches the Rfam family "Bacterial small subunit ribosomal RNA". Lineage: Bacteria; Pseudomonadati; Pseudomonadota; Gammaproteobacteria; Pseudomonadales; Pseudomonadaceae. The record is from RNAcentral.
AGCAGUCGGCAGCUCUAACACAUGCAAUUCGAGCCGGAUGACGGGAGCUUGCUCCCUGUACAUUCAGCGGCGGACGGGUGAGUAAUGCCUAGGAAUCUGCCUGGUAGUGGGGGACAACGUUUCUAAAGGAACGCUAAUACCGCAUACUUCCUACGGGUAAAAAGCAGGGGUACCUUCGUGGCCUUGCUGCUAUCAGUAUGAGCGUAGGUUCGGAUUAGGUAUUUGGUGUGGUUUUAAUGGUCUCACCAAGUGCGACUUAUCCGUAACUGGUUCUGAGUAGUGAUGAUCAGUCACACUGGUAACUGAGACACGGUUCCAAAUCUCCUACGGGUAGGCAGCAGUGGGGAAUAUUGGUACAAUGGGGCCGAAAGCCUGUAUCCACCCAUGCCGCUCGUUGUGUGAAAAAGGUCUUCGGAUUGUAAAGCACUUUAAUUUGGGAGGAAGGGCAGUAAGUUAAUUCUUUGCUGUUUUGACGUUACCGACAGAAUAAGCACCGGCUAACUCUGUGCCAGCAGCCGCGGUAAUACAGAGGGUGCAAGCGUUAAUCGGAAUUACUGGGCGUAAAGCGCGCGUAGGUGGUGUGUUAAUUUGAAUGUGAAACCCCGGCCUCAACCUGGGAACUGCAUCCAAAACUGGCGCUAAUGGUAGAGGGUGGUGGAAUUUCCUGUGUAGCGGUGAAAUGCGUAGAUAUAGGAAGGAACACCAUGGCGAAGGCGACCACCUGGACUGAUAUGAAUGAGGGGAAAGGUGGGGAGCAAACAGGAUUAGAUAACCCUGGUAGUCCACGCCGUAAAGAUGUAAAUAGCCGUUGGCCUUGAGUUUUAGGGCGCAGCUAACGCAUUAAGUUGACCGCCUGGGGAGUACGGCCGCAAGGUUAAAACUCAAAUGAAUUGACGGGGGCCCGCAAAAGCGGUGGAGCAUGUGGUUUAAUUUGAAGCAACGCGAAGAACCUUACCAGGCCUUGACAUCCAAUGAACUUUCUAGAGAUAGAUUGGUGCCUUCGGGAACAUUGAGACAGGUGCUGCAUGGCUGUUGUCAGCUCGUGUCGUGAGAUGUUGGGUUAAGUCCCGUAACGAGCGCAACCCUUGUCCUUAGUUACCAGCACGUUAUGGUGGGCAAUUUAAGGGACUGCCGGUGACAAACCGGAGGAAGGUGGGGGAUGACGUCAAGUCAUCAUGGCCCUUACGGCCUGGGUACACACGUGCUACAAUGGUCGGUACAGAGGGUUGCCAAGCCGCGAAGGUGGAGCUAAUUUCACAAAACCGAUUGUAGUCCGGAUUGCAGUUUGCAAAUUGACUGCGUGAAGUCGGAAUUGCUAGUAAUCGCGAAUCAGAAUGUUGCGGUGAAUACGUUCCCGGGCCUUGUACACACCGCCCGUCACACCAUGGGAGUGGGUUGCACCAGAAGUAGCUAGUUUAACCUUCGGGAGGACGUUACCAC